UUGGCAGCAUGGUGGCUUAGUGGUUAGCACUGUUGUCUCACAGCAAGAAGGUCAUGGGCUCAAUUCCCACUUGUGGUCUUUCUGUAUUGCGUUUGCAUGAUCUACCUGUGUUUGCCUGGGUUUCCUCCGGGUGCUCCAGUUUCCUCCCACAUCCAAAGACAUGCGGAUUAGGUGGACUGGA
This is a long non-coding RNA of Thalassophryne amazonica, 181 nucleotides long. RefSeq lists it as uncharacterized. The transcript has 2 exons. NCBI's taxonomy places the organism in Eukaryota, Metazoa, Chordata, Actinopteri, Batrachoidiformes, Batrachoididae. The record is from RefSeq and is a predicted model, not a curated record.